AAAGGAAUAGACGGGGGCCCGCACAAGCGGUGGAGCAUGUGGUUUAAUUCGAUGCUACGCGAAGAACCUCACCAGGGCUUGACAUCCUCGGACCGCCGUGGAAACACGGUUUCCGUAGCAAUACGGCCGGGAGACAGAUGCUGCAUGGCUGUCGUCAGCUCGUGUCGUGAGAUGUUGGGUUAAGUCCCGCAACGAGCGCAACCCCCAUCCUGUGUUGCCAGCGAGUAAAGUCGGGAACUCACAGGAAACUGCCCCUGUAAGGGGGAGGAAGGUGGGGAUGACGUCAAGUCAGCAUGGCUCUUACGUCCUGGGCUACACACAUGCUACAAUGGAUGCGACAAAGGGAAGCGAGGCCGCGAGGCGGAGCGGAUCCCAAAAAGGCAUCCGUAGUGCGGAUUGCAGUCUGCAACCCGACUGCAUGAAGGCGGAAUCGCUAGUAACCGCAGGUCAGCAGUACUGCGGUGAAUACGUUCCCGGGCCUUGUACACACCGCCCGU
This 497-nucleotide ribosomal RNA is filed under the name uncultured bacterium. RNAcentral's name for it is "bacterial SSU rRNA". It matches the Rfam family "Bacterial small subunit ribosomal RNA", at positions 903 to 1397 of the family's 1533-position model. The record is from RNAcentral.